UGAAUCUUAUUUUGGCACCUC
RNAcentral lists this non-coding RNA (21 nucleotides) under Caenorhabditis elegans. The record is from RNAcentral. Lineage: Eukaryota; Metazoa; Nematoda; Chromadorea; Rhabditida; Rhabditidae.